UUCUCAUCAGCUUCCUCCAGAAGCUGCUGUGGCUUCUGCCCAAAAGCAGAAGCUGCCGAACCCCAGCUUUCAAAAGCCAGAAGCCCGAAAAUUACUGUAGCGGUGUUACUGUAGAUUAAUGAAAAUUUCAAAAUACCGGUAAUUACCCUUCCAAGCUGAAACAAUUUCAGCUGAACCAUUAACCCUACGCAUAUCUUCGGUGGUCACUGUUCCCCAUCUCUCUCCCUCGUCACACCCGCAACAUCACAGCUUCCCUGCUCCCCCAUCUCUCUCCCUCAUCACACCCGCACCGCCGCAUCCUCGCUGCUCCCUCACCGCCGCAUCCUCGAAGCUCCCCGUCACCUUCGCAUCGUCGCUGCUCCCCAUCACAGACGUAUCAGCACGCAAGCAUCUUUCUCCCUCACAUCGUCGCUGCUCCCCAUCACCGCUCUCCAUCUCCGUCCGUCAUCAUAGACCGUAGCCCCGACGUCGAUAUACCCAUCUGUGUGUCCCUCGUCACAUAUCGAUCUCCGACGCAAGCUCCCCGUCACCGGUCCUCGUCACCGCUCCCACAGAUCGAUCUCUCUCCGCAUCGAUCUACCCAUCUCUCUGUCCCUCAUCACAGCUGGUGGGUGAAAGUGAGAAGAUGAGGAUGAAGAAGCUGGAGGAGCUGAGCAAGAACAUUGAUUCAAUGCAGUGAAUAUAGCCCUUUGAUGAUAGCUCUGAUUAGGUGUGUGUGAUGUAUUUAAGAUGACUACUUUGUUAAUGUUUACAUAUAUGGGUGAUUGGCUUUGGUGUAUUCUAAGUUUGGCUGUUUCGUUAGGCAUUUGAAAAACUUUAGCUUGAUUUAGGCAGGAAAUACCCUUCUAAAUUUAAACAGGUUUGUAACUAAACGCAUUCUGAACUUCGCAUUUUCUUCUCAUUGUAAGGUCUCUUUUAGUGUAAUGUGGGUUUUCUUCAUUUAUUUUUGAAA
Molecule: long non-coding RNA, 952 nt
Organism: Rosa rugosa (rugosa rose)
Lineage: Eukaryota; Viridiplantae; Streptophyta; Magnoliopsida; Rosales; Rosaceae
Exons: 2
Source: RefSeq, a predicted model, not a curated record